GUGCUUACUUCAGCAGCACACACACUAAAAACUGGAAUAAUACAGAGAAGAUUAGCAUGACCCCUGCAUUCGAAUGACACACAAAUUCAUGAAGCAUUUUAUAUUUUU
Small nuclear RNA from Vulpes vulpes (red fox), 108 nucleotides. The record is from Ensembl. Lineage: Eukaryota; Metazoa; Chordata; Mammalia; Carnivora; Canidae.